AGAGUUUGAUCCUGGCUCAGGAUGAACGCUGGCGGCGUGCUUAACACAUGCAAGUCGAACGGAAAGGCCCAAGCUUGCUUGGGUACUCGAGUGGCGAACGGGUGAGUAACACGUGGGUGAUCUGCCCCGCACUUCGGGAUAAGCCUGGGAAACUGGGUCUAAUACCGGAUAGGACCACUUCUUGGAGGUUGUGGUGGAAAGUUUUUUCGGUGUGGGAUGAGCUCGCGGCCUAUCAGCUUGUUGGUGGGGUAAUGGCCUACCAAGGCGUCGACGGGUAGCCGGCCUGAGAGGGUGUACGGCCACAUUGGGACUGAGAUACGGCCCAGACUCCUACGGGAGGCAGCAGUGGGGAAUAUUGCACAAUGGGCGCAAGCCUGAUGCAGCGACGCCGCGUGGGGGAUGACGGCCUUCGGGUUGUAAACUCCUUUCGCUAGGGACGAAGCGUUAUGUGACGGUACCUAGAGAAGAAGCACCGGCUAACUACGUG
RNAcentral lists this ribosomal RNA (487 nucleotides) under uncultured Corynebacterium sp. Its description in RNAcentral is "bacterial SSU rRNA". It matches the Rfam family "Bacterial small subunit ribosomal RNA", at positions 8 to 507 of the family's 1533-position model. The record is from RNAcentral. Lineage: Bacteria; Bacillati; Actinomycetota; Actinomycetes; Mycobacteriales; Corynebacteriaceae.